CCUACGGGAGGCUGCAGUGAGGAAUAUUGGUCAAUGGGCGAGAGCCUGAACCAGCAAAGUCGCGUGAGGGAAGACGGUCCUACGGAUUGUAAACCUCUUUUGUCGGGGAGCAAAAGACGCCACGCGUGGCGUCCAGAGAGUACCCGAAGAACAAGCAUCGGCUAACUCCGUGCCAAAAGCCGCGAGAAUACGGAGGAUGCGAGGGUUAUCCGGAUUGAUUGGGUUUAAAGGGAGCGCAGGCGGAAGAUCAAGUCAGCGGUAAAAUUGAGAGGCUCAACCUCUUCGAGCCGGUGAAACUGGUUUUCUGGAGUGAGCGAGAAGUAUGCGGAAUGCGUGGUGUAGCGGUGAAAUGCAUAGAUAUCACGCAGAACUCCGAUUGCGAAGGCAGCAUACCGGCGCUCAACUGACGCUCAUGCACGAAAGUGUGGGUAUCGAACAGGAUUAGAUACCCUGGUAGUC
RNAcentral lists this ribosomal RNA (459 nucleotides) under uncultured bacterium. RNAcentral describes it as "partial 16S ribosomal RNA". It matches the Rfam family "Bacterial small subunit ribosomal RNA", at positions 338 to 795 of the family's 1533-position model. The record is from RNAcentral.